GGUUUUCAGGGCUGGCAGCAUGUGCUCCCUCACUGGGAAUGAGGGGAGAGCCAAGAAAAAGCACGACUUGGAAAUUGCUCUCGUGCAUGCUGUGGUUGGGGACCAGCACUGUGAAAACUGGAGUUGCGGGUCCCCUCUGCAGUUCUCAUGGGAGCAGGAAUGAUUUUUCUGUGUGUGGGAGAUAGUUAUGGAUAGGCAAACGCAUAAAGACUGAAAUACAAAGAAAAGGUGUAGAGGCUGAGGGAGAGACGUGAAAGUUCCUGCCAUCAACUGCUCGGCCUUUUGCUUGGAAGGGUCAGGAAGCAACUUUUGUGCAUAUCCCAUUUAUAGCCCAGAGAACCUGAGGCUCUCCUGCUAUAAAAAUAGGGGAGAAUCCAUAAAAGCAGCAGCAUCUCAUAUUUAGAACAAAUCUUCUCUUACAAGACAGCAAGAAGCUAUAUGCUGUAAUUAGAAUUUCACUGAGUUAUUUUUUGUGUGGUGCAGCUAACGACACAGAACAUGGACUCCUGAUUGAAUACCAAGGCAGUAAAUCAAUUGAGGAUCUUUGCUACCGUUCAUGAAAUGCUCCAGCUGUGCUCCGGAGGAUUAUAGUGUCAACAGAACUCUUGAUUUGAAUCACAGCCUUGCCUUCACUCAGGGGCUGUAUAUUAGUCUUGAAAAGCAGACAGUGUUUCAUCGCUCAAAGAAAAGAGAAUUGCUGAGCUGAAAAUAAAACGAUGAUGUAGGGGAGGAACACUGUGACAUGACUAAAGAAGAUGGAUAGCAGAUUUCAGCAAAAUUCUCUAGAAAAUCACACUUUUUUUCCAUUUUACAAGACUUUAGUAUUUUCUGCUGGUUCCUGGUGUAGAGGACAUUGUGAUGCUUGAUUUGAUGACUUCUGUGCAGAUCCCAUCACCACUUUCAGUUAUUUUGCAAGGGUAAGAAAAUUUGGAAACGUGGUUCACCAUUGCCUGUACUUUUUUUUAAGCCAAGAUCUAUUCUGUUUGCAACAUAUUAUGUUGUUUAAUAUACAUUAUUUUAGCAUCUUUUUACAUGUGUUUUGGGAAGGCAGAUAUAAAAGAACUUUGACUUUCUUAUUCAGACACAAUUUCUUUCUAUUGUUGGAUUAUUACAAAAAAGGUACAAAGGUGGAAGUAAAAAGGAAUAUAGUUUUUGAUAUAAAGAUGCCUUUAGAUUUUGAUCUUUAGGAAUGUAAGCAGUGCUAUACCUAUGCUUACUAGGCAUUGUAAGCUCAUCAUAUCAAUCAAUUUUAAAACUCUCUUUCACAAAACUCUUCCCUUAGCUAUGGAAGAUUCCACUAACUGGUUUUAAAAGAUCUUACAGUUACUCAGUAAAUAGCCCACAAGAAGACCUCCAUGAUAAUGUCUUCAUACGGGAUUUAUACCUGUUUCCAUUUAAUGUCUUAUUUCUCUUACAG
This is a long non-coding RNA of Gallus gallus (chicken), 1417 nucleotides long. The record is from Ensembl. NCBI's taxonomy places the organism in Eukaryota, Metazoa, Chordata, Aves, Galliformes, Phasianidae.